This 449-nucleotide ribosomal RNA is filed under the name uncultured bacterium. RNAcentral's name for it is "bacterial SSU rRNA". It matches the Rfam family "Bacterial small subunit ribosomal RNA", at positions 42 to 500 of the family's 1533-position model. The record is from RNAcentral.
GUGCGCCUUAUGCAUGCAAGUCGAGCGAAGCUUUUCAGUAGUUUACUACAGAAAAUGACUGAGCGGCGAACGGGUGAGUAACGCGUGAGCAAUCUACCUUAGUUACAGGGAUAGCCCGAGGAAACUCGGAUUAAUACCUGAUAUUCUUUAUUUCUCGCAUGAGAAUAAAAGGAAAGGUCAGCCGAACUAAGAUGAGCUCGCGUUCUAUCAGCUAGUUGGUGAGGUAAAAGCUUACCAAGGCUACGACGGAUAGCUGGUCUGAGAGGACGAUCAGCCACACUGGGACUGAGACACGGCCCAGACUCCUACGGGAGGCUGCAGCAGGGAAUAUUGUGCAAUGAACGAAAGUUUGACACAGCGACACCGCGUGUGGGAUGACGGAUCUAGGUUUGUAAACCACUUUCAGGAGGGAAGAAAAUGACGGUACCUCCACAAGAAGCCCCGGCCAA